CAGAUAGUACUGGAUUAUCUGAAACAUCAGAAAAAGUAAAGAUAAUUUUUAAGGAAAAAUAUAAGGCACUGUUCUAGGCAUGAUGGAUAUGGAAAUUAACAAGUCAGAUGAGAUGCAUACCCUCUAGACACUCAUGUUCCAGUAAGAAGGACAGACGAUAAAGACAAAUAACCCUGUGCUUCAUCAGAAGGUGGUAUUUUCCACUUAUCAAAGUAAGUGGAUUCGAGGAAGGAAUCAAAGGAAAAUCAUUUCUUCUUGUUAAUGAUCAUAUAUUCAAGCCCUGACUUCAAU
Long non-coding RNA from Balaenoptera acutorostrata (minke whale), 291 nucleotides. RefSeq lists it as uncharacterized. The record is from RefSeq and is a predicted model, not a curated record. The transcript is spliced from 3 exons. NCBI's taxonomy places the organism in Eukaryota, Metazoa, Chordata, Mammalia, Artiodactyla, Balaenopteridae.